GUACUGAUUUAUUACAUAAUUUCAAAUGUCCAUAAAUAAAAGAUAGAUUAACUCCUAUCUAUCCAGCAAUCAGACUCCAUGCUGAUCUUAUUUCUCGUCCCACCCAAUGGUCUCUACAAAUCCAGUGCCUCUGAAAAAGAAAGUAAAUGUAGUAUGAGCUUUUCCAGCCCAGUAAGAAUCCCAACAGCCAUACACAGUAAUAAUAAUAAAAUAAUCAAAAUAUCAAAUAAAUGCCAUUUCAUCUAUUCAAAAGCUCACAAACAACAAGUGUAUAUAAUCAAUACAUAUACACAAAUCCUUUUUCACAUUAUGUGAUCCAUUCCCGUAUUACUCUGGUUCUCAAGUUUUCAGACUUUUCACUUCUGGCUUUGGACUAACCAAGAUCAUGACCCAGUCCAAGAGAAAUUGUAGACUGACUCAAUCACGGUUCCGAGUCACAACCUACUCGCUGGGGUACUGAGUCCCCUGAUCAAAAUCUCCUGGCUCCGUUGACUCUUCCGCCAUGGAUCUCGGCCAACCGGCGGCAAAAUCCGGAGGAGAGGAGCCGAAACAGGGGUACCCUGUUUCGGAUCCUUCUUCGAUGAUUUCAUCAGCCAAAACCCAGGAAAUACGACCCAAAAACCAAGCAAUGAAAUGCAAGGAAGAAGCCACGCUUACCUCGGUCUGAUGGGGGUGCUCCGGCGGCCUUUCCGGCGACGAAAUUGGAGAGGAAGCUCGGGUUUCCACGCGCGGGUCCAAGGCUUCUUCUCCCGAUUUGUGGGGGGAUCUUCACCGAGGGAGGGAAAAGCUUCCGGCUUCCUCCGCGGCCGGCCGGUUCUCGGCUCCGGCGCUGGAUCUCCUCCGGCGAUCGAUCCCUCCAACGCCGCCGCCCCCCUCUAAUGCCUCCCUUCCACGAUCGUGCCUAGGGCACGAUCAUAAUAAGGGGAAUGGGCCCGGUCAUUUCGGGCCGGCCCAUCUAAACCUUUUUUUUUUUUUUGGGGUUUUCACACCACCAAUGUCAAUGGUGGUUGGUAA
Molecule: long non-coding RNA, 1014 nt
Filed under: Phoenix dactylifera (date palm)
Lineage: Eukaryota; Viridiplantae; Streptophyta; Magnoliopsida; Arecales; Arecaceae
Description: long non-coding RNA (PDAC_LNC012005)
Source: RNAcentral